AUUGAACGCUGGCGGCAUGCCUUACACAUGCAAGUCGAACGGCAGCACGGGGGCAACCCUGGUGGCGAGUGGCGAACGGGUGAGUAAUACAUCGGAACGUGCCCGAUAGUGGGGGAUAGCUCGGCGAAAGCCGGAUUAAUACCGCAUACGACCUACGGGUGAAAGCGGGGGAUCGCAAGACCUCGCGCUAUCAGAGCGGCCGAUGUCAGAUUAGGUUGUUGGUGGGGUAAAGGCCUACCAAGCCGACGAUCUGUAGCUGGUCUGAGAGGACGACCAGCCACACUGGGACUGAGACACGGCCCAGACUCCUACGGGAGGCAGCAGUGGGGAAUUUUGGACAAUGGGCGAAAGCCUGAUCCAGCCAUGCCGCGUGCGGGAAGAAGG
This 384-nucleotide ribosomal RNA is filed under the name uncultured bacterium. RNAcentral describes it as "bacterial SSU rRNA". It matches the Rfam family "Bacterial small subunit ribosomal RNA", at positions 29 to 414 of the family's 1533-position model. The record is from RNAcentral.